CAUAAUUCAGAUAUGAACUUAAUGUGUUUUAGAAUGACAAACAUAACAUUCGAGGUACGUAUCCUCCCAUCCUAUAGGAGAGUUUCAACAAGCUUUGCCGGCUCUGAACGUACCUGCUCAGAUAAGGAGAACGGCCAGUAUCAGCACCGUUGUCUUCAUCGUGGUGUUCUCAGAACUUGCAGGCGAACGGCGAUACAAGACUAAUCGACACAAGUGUGGUGGUCUAUACUCGA
Molecule: long non-coding RNA, 233 nt
Filed under: Dermacentor andersoni
Lineage: Eukaryota; Metazoa; Arthropoda; Arachnida; Ixodida; Ixodidae
Description: uncharacterized LOC126522631
Source: RNAcentral